This is a non-coding RNA of Hordeum vulgare subsp. vulgare (domesticated barley), 136 nucleotides long. The record is from Rfam. NCBI's taxonomy places the organism in Eukaryota, Viridiplantae, Streptophyta, Magnoliopsida, Poales, Poaceae.
GUUAUACUCCCUCCCUCCCAAAAUUUUUGUCUUAAAUUUGUUUAGAAAUGGAUGUAUCUACAUGUUAAAAUAUGACUAGAUUCAUUCAUAUAUAGACAAAUCUAAAAUAAAAAAUUUGGGACAAAGGAAGUAUUAA